RNAcentral lists this ribosomal RNA (555 nucleotides) under Paramyrothecium roridum. RNAcentral's name for it is "eukaryotic LSU rRNA". The stretch from base 152 to 305 matches the Rfam family "5.8S ribosomal RNA". Lineage: Eukaryota; Fungi; Ascomycota; Sordariomycetes; Hypocreales; Stachybotryaceae. The record is from RNAcentral.
AACUCCCAACCCUUUGUGACCUUACCUAUCGUUGCUUCGGCGGGAUCGCCCCGGCGCCUUCGGGCCCGGAACCAGGCGCCCGCCGGAGGCCCCAAACUCUUAUGUCUUUAGUGGUUUUCUCCUCUGAGUGACACAUAAACAAAUAAAUAAAAACUUUCAACAACGGAUCUCUUGGUUCUGGCAUCGAUGAAGAACGCAGCGAAAUGCGAUAAGUAAUGUGAAUUGCAGAAUUCAGUGAAUCAUCGAAUCUUUGAACGCACAUUGCGCCCGCCAGUAUUCUGGCGGGCAUGCCUGUUCGAGCGUCAUUUCAACCCUCAGGCCCCCAGUGCCUGGCGUUGGGGAUCGGCGUGGGCGGCGACGGCUCUCCGGAGCCCGAGCCAAUGCCUGCCGGCCCCGAAAUUCAGUGGCGGUCUCGCUGUAGUCCCCCUCUGCGUAGUAGCACAACUCGCAUUGGAGCUCGGCGGUGGCCAUGCCGUAAAACACCCCACUUCUGAAAGUUGACCUCGGAUCAGGUAGGAAUACCCGCUGAACUUAAGCAUAUCAAUAAGCGGAGGA